This 454-nucleotide ribosomal RNA is filed under the name uncultured bacterium. RNAcentral describes it as "bacterial SSU rRNA". It matches the Rfam family "Bacterial small subunit ribosomal RNA", at positions 30 to 504 of the family's 1533-position model. The record is from RNAcentral.
UGAACGCUGGCGGCGUGCUUAACACAUGCAAGUCGAACGAUGAAGCCUAGCUUGCUAGGUGGAUUAGUGGCGCACGGGUGAGUAAUAUAUAGAUAAUGUACCUCUUAGUCUGGGAUAGCCAUUGGAAACGAUGAUUAAUACUAGAUACUCCUUCUUCUUCUAAUUGAAGUCGGGAAAGUUUUUCGCUAAGAGAUCAGUCUAUAUCCCAUCAGUUAGUUGGUAGGGUAAUGGCCUACCAAGGCAAUGACGGGUAGCGGGUUUGAGAGGAUGAUCCGCCACACUGGUACUGAGACACGGACCAGACUCCUACGGGAGGCAGCAGUGAGGAAUAUUGCACAAUGGAGGAAACUCUGAUGCAGCAACGCCGCGUGGAGGAUGACGCAUUUCGGUGUGUAAACUCCUUUUAUAAGGGAAGAAAAUGACGGUACCUUAUGAAUAAGCACCGGCUAACUCC